GUCGGGCAUGGUGGCCAUACCUGUAAUCCCAGCAGCUUGGGAGGCCGAGGCAGGAGGAUCCUGAGUUCAAAGCCAGCCUCAGCAACUUAGUGAGACCCUAAGUAGCUCAGUGAGACCCUGUCUCUA
This 126-nucleotide small RNA is filed under the name Marmota monax (woodchuck). The record is from RNAcentral. Lineage: Eukaryota; Metazoa; Chordata; Mammalia; Rodentia; Sciuridae.